Molecule: small nuclear RNA, 99 nt
Organism: Dipodomys ordii (Ord's kangaroo rat)
Lineage: Eukaryota; Metazoa; Chordata; Mammalia; Rodentia; Heteromyidae
Source: Ensembl
UGUUCGCUUUGGCAACACUAUACUAAAAUUGUAACGAUACAGAGAAGAUUAGCAUGGCCCAAGGAUGACACGCAAAUUCGUGAAGCAUUUCAUAUUUUU